RNAcentral lists this ribosomal RNA (256 nucleotides) under uncultured bacterium. RNAcentral's name for it is "partial 16S ribosomal RNA". It matches the Rfam family "Bacterial small subunit ribosomal RNA", at positions 521 to 776 of the family's 1533-position model. The record is from RNAcentral.
UAAUACGGAGGGUGCAAGCGUUAUCCGGAUUCACUGGGUUUAAAGGGAGCGCAGGUGGGCUUGUAAGUCAGUGGUGAAAUCUCCGAGCUUAACUCGGAAACUGCCAUUGAUACUAUAGGUCUUGAAUAUUGUGGAGGUUAGCGGAAUAUGUCAUGUAGCGGUGAAAUGCAUAGAUAUGACAUAGAACACCAAUUGCGAAGGCAGCUGGCUACACAUAUAUUGACACUGAGGCUCGAAAGCGUGGGUAGCGAACAGG